UACGUAGGGGGCAAGCGUUGUCCGGAUUUAUUGGGCGUGAAGAGCGUGUAGGCGGUCUGACAAGUCCGUUGUGAAAACUAGAGGCUUAACCUCUAGACGUCGAUGGAAACUGUUUGGCUAGAGUCCGGAAGAGGAGAAUGGAAUUCCUGGUGUAGCGGUGAAAUGCGCAGAUAUCAGGAAGAACACCCGUGGCUAAGGCGGUUCUCUAGUACGGUACUGACGCUGAGACGCGAAAGCGUGGGGAGCGAACAGG
Molecule: ribosomal RNA, 253 nt
Filed under: uncultured bacterium
Lineage: Bacteria
Description: partial 16S ribosomal RNA
Rfam family: Bacterial small subunit ribosomal RNA
Source: RNAcentral